UACACAUACAAUCCAUAGUUUACAACACCAACAUCAUGUUCAAUGGCAGCCAUACACAAAAUUUUUAGAAUAAAUUGGCACUAACCUUGACUUAGGCACUUUCCAAGGCUUAAAAACUUCACUUUCUUCCUUUCAAAUUGCUGCCCAAAGCUUGCUCUAGUGGUAGGGAUAAUUUUCAAUGAAGGCAAGUUAGGGUUUUGAGGUGGUUUAAGGUGGGAAUUGAAGCUUUGAUAAGCUUUCAAUGGUGGUUUGGGUAUGGAAGAGGAAACUGCUGGAAAUGGGGAAGGAAAUGAAUUUGAUUGCUUUUAUUUAUUUGUCUCAAUUAUCCCUUUUUAAUAGGCUAGCUUAAUUGUGAUUGGUGGGAAAAGGAUUGAUUACAUCAUGUGAUGUCAAAAUUGUCAUUUAAUCUCAUUUUCUUUCUUUUUCUUCUCUACUCAUUUUCAAU
RNAcentral lists this unclassified non-coding RNA (445 nucleotides) under Hevea brasiliensis (rubber tree). Lineage: Eukaryota; Viridiplantae; Streptophyta; Magnoliopsida; Malpighiales; Euphorbiaceae. The record is from RNAcentral.